Molecule: ribosomal RNA, 460 nt
Filed under: uncultured bacterium
Lineage: Bacteria
Description: partial 16S ribosomal RNA
Rfam family: Bacterial small subunit ribosomal RNA
Source: RNAcentral
CCUACGGGGGACAGCAGUGAGGAAUAUUGGUCAAUGGGCGGAAGCCUGAACCAGCCAAGUAGCGUGCAGGAUGACGGCCCUACGGGUUGUAAACUGCUUUUAUACGGGAAUAACGCGCCUUACGUGUAGGGUUUUGCAUGUACCGUAUGAAUAAGGACCGGCUAAUUCCGUGCCAGCAGCCGCGGUAAUACGGAAGGUCCGGGCGUUAUCCGGUUUUAUUGGGUUUAAAGGGUGCGUAGGCCGCAUGUCAAGCUUGCUGUGAAAUGUCCGGGCUCAACCCGGGCCUUGCAGCGAGAACUGGCGGGCUUGAGUCCGCGGAAGGCAGGCGGAAUUCGUCGUGUAGCGGUGAAAUGCUUAGAUAUGACGAAGAACCCCGAUUGCGAAGGCAGCUUGCUGCGGCGGAACUGACGCUGAUGCUCGAAAGCGCGGGUAUCGAACAGGAUUAGAUACCCGGGUAGUC